Molecule: small nucleolar RNA, 134 nt
Organism: Castor canadensis (American beaver)
Lineage: Eukaryota; Metazoa; Chordata; Mammalia; Rodentia; Castoridae
Source: Ensembl
CCUCUCUCAGCUCCGCUCGAUCACACAGUCUCAGUGUGUGUUUGGCGUAUUUUAAGGGAGAGAGAGGAAGGCCCUCCUAAUGCACGGCAGACCUGCCCUAAAGUGGCCUCUCUGUUCCUAGGAGUGCAACAGCU